RNAcentral lists this long non-coding RNA (639 nucleotides) under Brassica napus (rape). RNAcentral describes it as "long non-coding RNA (BNAP_LNC025948)". The record is from RNAcentral. Lineage: Eukaryota; Viridiplantae; Streptophyta; Magnoliopsida; Brassicales; Brassicaceae.
UGUAAAUAUGCUACUCUCUCUGCGGAAAAUCCCCACGUACUUUUUAAACACUUACAACGAGACUGUACCAUUUGUUACUAGUCUUGUUGCUUGUCAAUGUUACUUAUCUAGUAUGCAACAUGUCCACAGCCAAAAAUCCACAUGGGAACAUCCACAAUUUCCGAAAACGCAACAGUUUGUCCACGAACACAACAACCAUUAGCACAUAUCUACAACCUCUAUCCAGUGUUUACAUCUCCUGCUGGUGUCUGGUUCAAUGUCCACAAACACAACAUCGACAUGUCCACAAAUACAACAUCCACAUGUAAGCAUCCACAAGCAGAGUCGGAAAGAAGAUGUAGACAUGUGAGCGUCUACAAACAUAAGUCUCUCUUCAUAAGUGACCAUCUACAAACAUAAGUCUCUCAUGUGAGCAUCCACUUGUCCACAAACACAUCAACCACAAUUUCCGAAAACACAUCAACUUGUCCACAAACACAACAUCCACAUGUGAGCAUCCAUACCCAAGCAGAGUCGGAAAGAAGAUGUCUUCACCUACUCUCACCACCUACGUAUCCCUCUUAAUUGCACUCUCUACCAAUAUACCAAUAUUUAGAUUAUAUUCUCAGCCUUAGAUCUUAUGCAUAUAAAUAGAUCUAA